AGUGUUAGUGUUGCCAUGGCAACCAUGACGUUUCAUCUUUUGCACUUUUAUAGUCUAAUUUUACAAUCAAACGGCAAUAUCUUUUUUUCCUUCCGUCAAUUUUUCUGAAUUUUUUUUUUAAGAUUUAUGGUUGAAAGGGGAAUGACAUAUUAAAAUUUGAAGGGAUGUUUAUAAGGCAGGUUUUGAGAUAUUCAUGAAUAACGACCACAAAAAAUCUGUCUUAUAGAAUUUCUUGAAAUUUUGAUAUGUUUGGCGAAUCGUCAUGCUUAGCAAACGUGCAAAGUUU
Molecule: non-coding RNA, 286 nt
Organism: Paramuricea clavata
Lineage: Eukaryota; Metazoa; Cnidaria; Anthozoa; Malacalcyonacea; Plexauridae
Source: the annotation of a GenBank genome assembly